GUAAAGAGUGGUAGAGAAAAAAAGACCCAGGUGGUGAAAUCACUAGCUCUGGACAUUAUCAUGAGUUUUGAGCCAAACAGUAAGUACUAUAGUGUGGGCCCUAAAACUUCAGAGAAGAGGAAUGACAUGGAGCUGAAUGAUUACUGGCUAGUCCUAACUAAGGGAGUGAGGGGCUGAGCUGUGGGAAUGAAAGCUGAGCUAUGGAAAUGAAAACAGUGGCAACUGUGACCUCAUGACAAUUGAAAACAGAGCAGUGAAAUAUGAUCUGUCCUGAGGUAUCCUGUCAGAGUGGCCUGGAACCAUGUCUUCUGCAAGAUCUGCAUCCUACAGUGGCUCAGGAGGUCCAGUACACUGGGUCAUGUCCUCAGUGUAACCUUAACUGGAUUAUUCAUAAGAAAAGGGAGUAGCUGUGUUAUUAUGAAAGUGUAACAAUGAUGGUUGCUCGGCCACCUUCCCUCUGUCUGAGGAGUUCCUUGGUGCAUCGGUCAGCCCUGGAGCCAGCUCUGCCCCAUAGACUGUGGUGCUCUGCUCACACAGGCCACCCAGAACCAACACAACUGCUUCAGUUUGGAUUCCACGCUAGAAUUUCCCCUUGACAAUAUACAAAUGAUCUUGGUGUAAAUGGAUGAAUCCUCUUUGAUGAUUAUUAUGGUUACCCCAGGUGGCUGAAGCAGCAGGUGGAGUCCCAGAGGCAGAACCACAGAGCCAUCGCUAGCGCCCUCCGGAGGAAGAUGAGAAUGCAGACACAAGUUAGGAGGCAGGUGGCUGUCAUCUGUGAGAGUCUAGAUGUCAUGGGAGAGGCAGAGGAAGGACAGGAGGGUGAGGGAGAGGAAUAUGGAGAGGGGGAAGGAGAGGUGUAUGAGGGAUAUGGAGAGGGGGAAGGAGAGGUGUAUGAGGGAUAUGGAGAGGGGGAGACUACAGGGGAGAGUAACACAAGCAGCAGCUCCUAAGAUGGGAACAGGGUUUAUUUUUGUAUUUUACAAAUGAUUAAUGACGUUUUAAAUG
Oncorhynchus masou masou (cherry salmon) is the source of this 1005-nucleotide long non-coding RNA. RefSeq lists it as uncharacterized. The transcript is spliced from 4 exons. The record is from RefSeq and is a predicted model, not a curated record. NCBI's taxonomy places the organism in Eukaryota, Metazoa, Chordata, Actinopteri, Salmoniformes, Salmonidae.